UGGGGAAUAUUGGACAAUGGGCGCAAGCCUGAUCCAGCCAUGCCGCGUGAGUGAUGAAGGCCCUAGGGUUGUAAAGCUCUUUCACCGGUGAAGAUAAUGACGGUAACCGGAGAAGAAGCCCCGGCUAACUUCGUGCCAGCAGCCGCGGUAAUACGAAGGGGGCUAGCGUUGUUCGGAUUUACUGGGCGUAAAGCGCACGUAGGCGGACUUUUAAGUCAGGGGUGAAAUCCCGGGGCUCAACCCCGGAACUGCCUUUGAUACUGGAAGUCUUGAGUAUGGUAGAGGUGAGUGGAGUUCCGAGUGUAGAGGUGAAAUUCGUAGAUAUUCGGAGGAACACCAGUGGCGAAGGCGGCUCACUGGACCAUUACUGACGCUGAGGUGCGAAAGCGUGGGGAGCAAACAGG
This 404-nucleotide ribosomal RNA is filed under the name Pseudomonas sp. RNAcentral describes it as "partial 16S ribosomal RNA". It matches the Rfam family "Bacterial small subunit ribosomal RNA", at positions 355 to 776 of the family's 1533-position model. Lineage: Bacteria; Pseudomonadati; Pseudomonadota; Gammaproteobacteria; Pseudomonadales; Pseudomonadaceae. RNAcentral also lists the same sequence under 2 other names. The record is from RNAcentral.